AGUUAAAUCAAUCAAUCAAGAUAUGCACAGUAUAGGUCCUUUUACAGAAAAAUUUAAAUUCCCACAACACUACAGGUUUUCAGAGUCAAGCAUUCAAUGGAAUGGUGAAUAAUGAAUUUCAUUCUGGUGAUUACCUCGAGGCAGGGAUUGAAGGUAAGAG
Molecule: non-coding RNA, 160 nt
Organism: Vicugna pacos (alpaca)
Lineage: Eukaryota; Metazoa; Chordata; Mammalia; Artiodactyla; Camelidae
Source: RefSeq, a predicted model, not a curated record